This 253-nucleotide long non-coding RNA is filed under the name Eucalyptus grandis. Its description in RNAcentral is "long non-coding RNA (EGRA_LNC006587)". Lineage: Eukaryota; Viridiplantae; Streptophyta; Magnoliopsida; Myrtales; Myrtaceae. The record is from RNAcentral.
UGCUGCAUAAAGAGUAACCCUGUGCUGCUCCACUGGCUUUUCUUGUUGAAUAGCAUGCACAAUCGACUCCAUAGGUUUUUUAAUUUCCUUGCAAAUGACACUAACAACUUCCUCUUUUGACCAUCAAUAGAUAAUAUAGGAACAACUUAAAAAGAGUAUGAAUUUGAUCCUUCUGAAUGAAUAGUCAAUUUGUAUGUCUUCGAAAUAGAGGUUGCCAGAUGUUGUAGAAUUCAUUUUUACUAUUCACUGCCAG